RNAcentral lists this long non-coding RNA (13255 nucleotides) under Setaria italica (foxtail millet). RNAcentral's name for it is "long non-coding RNA (SITA_LNC000544)". Lineage: Eukaryota; Viridiplantae; Streptophyta; Magnoliopsida; Poales; Poaceae. The record is from RNAcentral.
UCGUCGAACCCCGUCUUGCCGGCGUCCCUCAGCAUCCGCACGUACGCGUAGAAGUAGUCGGCGUAGGCGAUCGUGGCGCUCGGGUAGGACCGGCGCAGCUCACGGAUCUCCUGCUGCAGCAGCACGUUGUGCAUCUGGGCGAACAGGUUGAGCGACAUGAGGCAGCCGUUGGCGUCGUAGGCCGCCGGGUCCGUCUCGUUCACGGCGGACAUGUAGCUCGGCACGCAUCCCAGCGGGAAGUUUCCCGGGAUCACCAGCCGCGUCGCACCCAUGUCGAGGAGCUCCCUGGCCGCGUCCGUGACGGACCGCACCACGUCCGGGACGAGCGCCAUCGCCUCGACCACGCCGGUCGCCAUGCGUCCGAAGUUGUAGAGGUUGCGCUCGCCAUUGCCCGCUGGUUUGUUCUCCGAGAAGGCGUAGUUGUAAUCGUUGCCGCCGAUCUCCCCCACCAUGACCAGCGAGUGGGACAGCUUCUCGCGGAUCUCCUGCGGGGAACGGGUGUUGGCGCUCAUGAAGUCCUUGAACUGCUGCAGCUGGACGGCCAGGGAGGUGUUGGUGUGGGGAACAGCGACCCCUCUCCUCGCGAGCGCCGCCGCGUCGAGGGCGGUGGCACCGGCGACGGCGAAGUUCACGCCGUGGGUGAAGUCGGCGCCCUUGUCGAGGUACGGGUUGAGCAGCGGCAGGCCGAGGUCCUUGGCGAGGAAGUCUAUCAUGAGGUACCCGUCGGAGCACCGGCCCGUGGCGCCGCCGAUGGCGGAGCCGUAGGGAGGACCCAUGCUGUGUCGCAGCAUGCCGGUGGCGCCUUCGCGGAGCAGGUUCCCGGUGUCGGACAGGGAGUCGCCGAAGUUGUAGAUGGCCGUGACGCCGUCCGCCGCCGCCGCCUUCUCUUUGGCUGACAGCUUGUUGGGUGCCUGUUGCGGCGCUGGCCUUGCGUGGCACGGGCCGACGACGAGGAGCAGCGCCAUGAACGCGACGAGCAGGGUGCGAGCCAUGGUUGCCAUGGGGCGCUAAGCACGUUGGUCUUUCGCUUCGGUGUGGAGAGGUUUGAGGCCAGGCAGGUUCCUUUUAUUGGGCGCGAUGGGAUCAUGGGAGCCGCUUCGCCUAGCCGAUCGGACUAGGAAACGCGAGCGUCGUCCGAGUCGGAGACCGAUCAGCAAGCGGAGUUCACCGCGCGUGGACCGCGUCGCCGUCAUCUCCGGACGUCUUGGCGCACGAAUCUCCAGGUGUAGUGAUCACCGGCGGCACCGCUUGACGGACGGUGCCUGUGCGAGUGUUUGAUGCAUACUGCAUACCCUGGCCGAGCCCAAAAUCCGUGCGCUGACGUAGUUCCGGUAUCUGCGGAUAAGAUUAUCUGCCAUUGUUUAUAGUUGGAGGAUUGGAGCUCUCUGCACAUUUCUGAUCCUUGCAUUAGUGUUCGUCUGCAAUUUUCGAAGCUGCAAUCAAUCAUAGAUAAAGAUCCCGCGACUUCAUCGAUCACAGUGCAACUACUUGCUAUUAAGCGGAAACAUGCACGUUCGCUUCAUCUUAUCAGUCAGUUUAUCAACCACCGAAUAGUAUUUUUCUCUCACAACAAAUCAGCCGUUUCAGCUUUUCAGCCGAUUUAUAAAUCCAGCCGCACAGGCUAAUUAGCUUUUAGCUUUUAGCACAAUAUUAUUUCCACCGGUAUACCCUGAUGACAUGAUCUCAAGAGGCUUCUUCUAUAGUUCUAUUCGGCAUAUGCUUCAUCGGGGGUGCUGCCGCAGACCUGCGGUCACCCCCUAUUUCUAAUUUAUUUCUCAAUAAAUAGAUGUACAGGCUACAAAAAGUGUAGGGAUGAUGUGCUCUACGUGUACGUACACUGUAUGCUUCGGUUGCUGCAUGAAUUGCAUGUCUCACUUUACAAAACAAACUACAGAGGCUAGGCUAGAGCCCUACUCCUCGGCAGGAGGGUCCACCCACCGGCCGUUGUCCUUGAUCAGCUGGAUCAAGGCGUCGGUGGCGCCUUCCAUGGCGAUGCCACGUUGCACGACGGUCUGCAGAGAGAAAGAUGCACAGUCCGUAUUAGCCGGAGAAGUAAACCAGAAGCUUCAAGACUCAUGACUGCAGGUGGUGAACAUUUUUCGUGCUAUCAAAAGUUCACAGUACUAGACGGUGUUUCUUGAUACCACAAAUCCACAGCUAUUGCUCAACGACGUAUGUAGCAAAAGUUUCCAUUUCGUAUAUACGAUGAUUGUGGCACCCAAGCACUGGAUGGUUGGUUACCUUGCCAACGUAAAGAUCGAUCUUUCCAGGAGCACCUCCGACGUAUCCAAAAUCAGCAUCGGCCAUCUCUCCUGGCCCAUUGACAAUGCAACCCAUGAUAGCGAUCUGCCAGGCAAAUACGUAUACCGUUGAUCAGUAUAAUUGAUUCUUCCUCCGUUUCAAAUUAUAGAUCAUUUUGGUUAAAUUGUAGGUCAUUUUGGAUUUUCUAAGUUUAUAGAUACUCCAUUAUUAUGCAUCUAGAUAUACACUAUACGUGUUAGCAAAGACUAUAUAUAAAAAAGCUAAAACGACCUACAAUUUGGAACGGAGGGAGUAGUAAAGAAGGAAAUACAUAUGCAGUUGAUCAGGCAUAUCAGCAUCAUGAGAGCUUACCGAGACGCCUGGCAGAUGAGAGGUCUUUUCUCUAAUCUGAGCACUGAUUUCCUGAAGGUCGAAGAGUGUUCGCCCACACGAAGGACAAGACACGUAUUCCUGCAACAUUCAUUAGUAUUAAAAAAUCAUUUUGACAAAAUCUAAUGAAACAUCAACAGUUGUUUUUUAGUAUGGCCGAUUUUGAAGUUUUUUUCCUGUAUGUUGUAGGGAGAGUGCUGUGGCUUAAUCACUACAAGUCUCCAGAGGUAGCCAUGCUAUUUUAAACAAAAAUACAUCAACGUACAGUUUUUGUGUUGCGCAUUCUGCAACCCUGAAGUAAGUUGAAAGAUGUGUCCCUCAGGAACUCAAAUUCCUGGUCAGCAGCUUCAAGAAGUACACCAUCACCAAGACCAUCGACUAGGAGAGCACCAACAUUGGCCCCGGCACCAAUGACAAGAGCAUCUCUGCAGUUAAUUGAAUUAGAAUAAGCACAAGAAAACCAGGUCUCAACAAUUCAAAGGGGUUCGAAAAUAGGAAUGUUGACAAUCACCUGUCAAUGGUUUUGGGGAAAUCUAUGUGAUGGAUUACAGGAAAGUUCAAGCCAUUGGUCUGUAAGUACUCAAAUAACCUGCAAAACAUGAAAAUUUAUAAGACACUGUAAUCAAAAUGAACGAAAAAGCCUUAGGGAACAGUGUUGUUAAGCAUGGAUACAUGAUAAAUAAAUGGCUCCCAAACAUGUGACCCAUUUAAUAGAUUGAUCCACUGUGUUUGCUUACCUCCUAGCAGCAUGUACUCUACCAGUCCUCUCCUCACCAUAUGGAACAUUAUGUAGCAGCAUUGUUAUAUCAUCAACACCCUUAAGGAUAUCUAGCUGCUCGUACGAUUCAUCUCCGCGAAUAGUGACAGCAAGUCUGGUGCCUACACACACCAAAAAAAGACAAAAAAGGCAAACAAAACAAGAUAUUAAAUACUCCCAACGAGAAAAAAAAAGAACCACAAGCAACAAUAGAAUAGUUAAUGCAAAUCAUUACCUUCUGGCAAAAGUUUGUGAGCACCACUUGACAGUUCGUCAAGGUUGACAAGCGCAAUUGCAUGUGGGAGUGGCUUUGUCAACUGCUCCGAUAAAGGGGUCAACACGCCCAUGCUGAUGUCAACUAAUCUUUUAAGUGCAAGCCUCUGUAUACAUUGACAAAAUUAUAACAGAUAACUAAGAAAGGGAAUCAAACGUUAUGCACUUGUGAUGGGGAUGAAGAAAUGGUGUAACUCACAGCUUCAGUAUCUUCUACAGGGGGGAGCUCCCUCAAAAGAAUGGAAUCUACAGUAGCAAGGUCCUGAUGUUCAUAGAAGAAAUGAAUCAGUUUAAACUCAAUGCCCAUAAAAAAAAUAGUCAUGUGAUAGCUCAUAAAACCAUAUAUCAGACCUUGAAAGGCAUGCCAACCACAAGCUUCGUUGCAAGAGACCUAUAAAGGAGCUCAGGAGCCUGGCAAAUAAAAGGAAUUUUCAUCAUUACAGAGCACAUUUAUCUGAUGGCCAGACAAUAAAGAGUGAUUCUAAAACCUAUUUUCAAAAGCUAAAUGCCUGGAAAACAACAAAUAUACUGCUGAAUAUAUACUUCAAAUGGAUUACAGAUUCAAAUUUACAGAUGCUAAAAUUUCUUCGUAUAGUUAUACAUAUUGUAGGAAAUUCCAAAAAGAAGGGUAGGAAUGGUGCAGGUUACCUUCAACUGAUCCAAGGAAACUGACAUCAGUACAGAGCCAUCACGAUGCAGGACAUUUCUGUAGUCAACUUCCUCACCCUGUCAUAAGAGCAACUGAUGAGAAAUCAAGCACUAUUAGUUUUUAUGAUCAGACCAUAGAAUUAUUGUUUUAACCAACCUCCUUCUGCAAAGGCAAUUGACCACUCCUACGCUGGAAAUCAAAAUAAUGCCUGUGCUUUUCUUCAAAUGGGGCCUGUGAAUACAAGAUAAAUAGCAAAAAAAAUUAAGAAAUGUUUAAGGGAAAGCACAAGUAUUAAGGACUGAAAUUUACUGUGUUGUGACAGAAUAAGGGGAAAGUACGCAAAGUGAAAGUGCAUUACCACUCCGAUUUGAAGGUUGGCAGCCUGUGUCCCAAGAUUUGCCAACCUUUGGCAAGGAUCGAUCUCUUCUUCUGGUGGUUCCGUGAGGGAGACACGGAUUGUGUCACCCAAGCCAUCCUGUAAUACAACAAGCAGAAGAUAUAGUCCUAUUCCUUUUGUAGAACUUGCCGGUUUCCACAUAAUUAAAUCCAUUCACAGGAAACCACUAGUCUUGUACUUCUAUUAUGUGUCAGCGAAUAGCAUGGCAAAGGUCCCGAAACAUACCAUAUACAACUUAUACAAACAUGAUACCAAAAAUAUUCAUCUUCACAACUUUCAAUUGUGAGCUCCAAAAAGUGAAGAUACUCUUUAUCCAGUGAAAAGGCUACCACUUCCAUGCUCUUAUUUCAUUUCUAGAAUACUCAUAUGAAACAGAUUUAACUUCAUACGACAGAACUAAGUAGUGAAGCAAUUACCAUUAGAAGUGUUCCAAUGCCAAUAGCAGACUUCAUCCUUCCAUCUUCACCCUCUCCAGCUUCGGUAACACCCAAGUGCAAGGGAUAAUCCCAUCCUAGGUUAUACAUUUCUGCAACAAGCAGGCGAUAUGCUUGGACCAUGACAACAGGGUUACUAGCUUUCAUUGAAAAUACAAAGUUGUGAAAGUCCAACUUCCGACAUAUCCUAGCAAAUUCCAAAGCAGACUCAACCUGCGAUAGUAUGCAGAAAAUGUCAAGCAUCUACAGGCUGAUGGUUAAAUAUAACCUCAUAAAUGAGAUAAUCACCAUUCCCCGUGGAGAAUCACCAUAGUAACUCAUUAUGCGGUCAGAGAGACUUCCAUGAUUUGUUCCUAUGCGCAUUGCUCUCCCAUACUGCUUGCAUUUCUCAACUAAUGGAGAAAAUACCUGAAACGGGAUUAAAGUGGCUCUGUAAGUAAGAUAACCUAUUAUAUGUUCAUAUUGAUUAAAACAAGACUAACUGAGAGACAAAUUUUCAACCUUCUCAAUAUGCUCAAGCUCUUUUUGGUAAUCGUCAUCUGUAUAUUCCAGCUGCUCAAACUGAGCCCGACGAUCAGCUGCAAGUACAUUUCUCAGUAUUUCAGAAUGAAACGAGAACAUAAACAUACUAAAAUCAGUGUUGUCAAGAUUUCACUCACCAAAAUUUCCGGGGUUCACACGAAUUUUGUCAAAGCAUUCUGCCACUCUUAAAGCUACCGUAGGAGCAAAAUGAAUAUCGGCUACUAGUGGAAUGUUGUAACUGUAUGAACAGAAUGAAAAAUGUGAGGACUCAAGUAUGUGAACACACUGAAUGUGAGGAAAAUGACAGCUUACUUCUUCUGAACCAGGGUGUUCUUGAUCUCAAAGCAGGCAUCAGCCUCCUUCUUACCCUGGACGGUUAUUCUAACAAUAUCAGCUCCUUUAUCUGCUAUCCUCAUCACCUGAAAGGGUGUGAAUUACAUCUUCUAUUAGCAACCUAUACACAAAACAGAAAUCCUCUGAAAAAGGGGUAACUAAUUCAUUUCUCAUAUCUAUGUUCUAUAGAGAAUACUAAGUACAACCAACAUGAACUUCAGAUGGGAUGCACCUCUUCUACAGUUUUGGCAACAUCCUUGGUAUCUGAAGUCGUCAUGGUCUGAAUCCUUAUGGGAUGAUCACUACCGAGUGGGACAUUCCCCACCAUUACAGUACGAGUUUUUCUUCUCCUUGUCUGGUGUAUAGAUUCACAGUACUUUUGCCUGGGGACUAAAGAACAGAAGAAAAUCUCAGUUAGAAGAAGGAUCGCAUAGAUUAAAUCUGGGACAAAUCCCUUGACCUGAAAUAUACACAAUUACACAAAUACAAACAUGCAAGGACAAUAGAGCACGCAGAUCAUACCUAAAAGUGGGCUUCCUUCUGAUGAUGGCUCCAGCUCCAUAGUAUCUGAACCAGUACUCGAGCACUUCGCCACAAGCGCCCUGCCCCUCGAGGAGCCUGUCCUUGUAGUUCCGACGCCAGGAACAGACAAGACCUUAGCAAAGUCGACGCUCCUGGUGAAGCCGAUGCCACCAUCGCGCACCCUGACAUGUGGGAGAGGGGCUGGUGCCACGCCGGUGGCCAUGGCCGUGCCCAAGCAGCAGGAGCUCAGCUAGGCAAUUCUACAAACACCUGCAGGACAAACCAACAAGUGGUGAGGGGAGCACGGAGCACUGGCCACUGAUCCUGAUGGGCACAGGUGGAAUAUACCCCUAUCGCUGGGUGAGCAAGAACAGGACAAAUAUGGUGUGGGCUACUAAACAUGGGCAUUUAACAAUUCGUGCACUGAAUUGACAACAUGUUUUGCAUAAUAGGUCGCAUAAAAAAAUUUAGCAAACUCGAAUCAAGCGCCUUUCCUGGUGAAGGUAGCGAGAAAAACAAUAGUUCGGAGACGAAAAUGGCGUAGAUCCUUAUUGGCAAACGAGUAGGAGAAAUGCUCAGCUCAAAACCUUCCUAAUCCCAAGAGGAUUCUACUGAAUUCGAUCGAACUACAACCUGACAAACUAACUGUGAGUGGGUCCUUCAUUUCCUCCCACCCACAAAAUCCAAAUUCCCCAAACCAAAGCAAGCAAACUUCUAUAAAAUUGGCUCCUGAAGCACCCAGCACUGAUUCAACUAUCCCAAGGCCCAAGCUGCAGAGGAGAAUUCAGCCAAACCAAGCAUGAAUCCCGCCCCAGCCACACAGCAGGCAGCACACAACCAACGCGAUCGGACAUCGGAGGCAGCAAGCUAGCAAAUCUCACCAAACCUCGCCGCUUCGUGUCGCGACGACACCUCCCGCGCCCGCUCACUUUCGGCGGCCACCACCGCCACCGCGAGCGCGAGCGCGGCGAAGCAGAAAAGCGAGCGCGAGUGCGCGAGUUUUUUUUUUUCUCUCCCCAGAGCAGCCGGGCAGGAGGUAGAGGCCAGAGGGCUCGUGGCAGUGGCGCGCGAGUUCGUGGUGGGUUUCUACUGGAUAGCCCCUUUUAUCUCCAAGCCGCAGGGGGCGCCCGAGGAUCCACGUGCACCGGGUCCUGGAACACCUCUCAGGCCAUGUCCCUCUGGCUCUCCGGGCCCGACGACGCGUGCGCACGGGUGCUUGAGGACCCGGUGCGGGGAGGUGCGGCGGGCGAGGAGGGGCCGGAGGUGUGGAAGUGGAGUUCCGGCCGCUGGCGCUGCCCGCCAUGAUUUUAUCGUGUCCGUCGUUUUCCCAUGAGACACGAGUCCAGUUUAUUUUUACGAAGGAAAUUCGUAGCGGUGUUUUUUUAUGAAGAAUUCGUAGCAGCGUCUGUUAGCUCGCUGCGUGUGUUAGCCAAGAAACUUUUGUUAUCGUUGUUGCAGGCUUGAUUGAGGACGGAGUUCACGAAUGUUCUUGGGAGAUGCAGACGGGAUCUUCAAAUUUUUUUCCCCCAAUUUACACUGUUCAGUCUAUUUUACUUUCAUUAUGACUCGACAAAUUUUUGUUUUCCUUAUGUUCACUGUACAUUUUACUUGAUUUCGAGCAGCAGUAGUAUCCGGCAUGCACUUCGGACUUUACUCUGACGAGGAGAGAAAAUGCUUCGAUUGAUCCCAAAAAAACACAAAGUGCGCUCGGCGCUGUCAGUCGUCAAGCCCACAUGUUCAAGGUAAGAAGAACGUGCGCCUCUGGUCACGCAUCGACUCGCCUGUUGCUGCUCUCUUUUUUUUCCCUUGGAGGCUGGGGUCAUGUUUAGUUCACUUUAAAAUUCCAACUUUGGCACUAUGCAAAAAGAAGAUUCCCCAUCACAUCAAACUUGCGGUACAUGCAUAGAGUACUGAAUGUAGACGAAACUAAAAACUAAUUGCACAGUUUUGUUGUACUUUGCGAGACGAAUCUUUUGAGCCUAAUUAGUCAAUAUUUGGACAAUAAUUCACAAAUACAAACGAAACGCUACAGUGUUGCUACAGUAAUUUUAGCAUCUUAAAAUUGGGCAACUAAACAAGACCUUGGAUGAUUCAGCGUGCGCGAGAGCUGGAAGAACGGCCGCCCGUGCCGCGCCGCCAUGACAAGGGUGUGCGUGCGGCUGCCGGACGGAGACCGGAAGCUGGCGAGUCCACACCACAUGUGUUGACCUGAAACGGAGCUCAGCGCACGUUCUGGUGUUCCCGUCCAAGCGCCAAGCACAUGUGGGAGAAGAUUUCACAACACAUGUUUCGCGCUGGGGACUUGAAACUGGGCAAGACUGACCAGAUCCUUAAGAACUCUAACUUUGGUCCUGCCGUAUGGUACCGGUAGAAGAGUGUGAUGUUUUUGUCAAGGCCUGGCCUAUUCUUCAGGAUGUUCUUGCCUCCGACCACAAGAACACCGAAGAGAAGUGGAAGUUUUCGUCCUAGAAAAUAAAUACAGAAGUUUUCCCUGCAAGAAGGUUGCGCAACUUUGCUAGGAUGUUUGAUACGACGUGUUAAACUUUAACAGUGUCACAUCAGAUGUUCAAAUGCUAAUUAGAAGAACUAAAUAUGAGGUAAUUAUAAAACUAAUUGCAGAACCCUUUGCUAAUUCGCAGGACGAAUCUACUAAGCCUAAUUAAUCCAUCAUUAGCAAAUGGUUACUGUAGCACCACAUUGUCAAAUCAUGGACUAAUUAGGCUUAAUAGAUUCGUCUCGCGAAUUACACUCCAUAUGUGCAAUUAGUUUUGUAAUUAGCCUAUAUUUAAUAUUUCUAAUUAGCAUCCAAACAUCUGAUGUGACGGGUUUUAAAUUUACACCAAGUUGCCAAACAGCCUAAGAAGAAUAAUAAUGUAGGUGUUCUACACAACGCGCAUCACCGAACCGAGCGCACGGCGGGUGCCCGAGGCCCAGUUGUUGUGGUUUACAUGAUCGAUCGAAACAACCUUGAACAGCUAACCAGGAUGACAGAGCUUUCAUGAGUGAAGACCAGAUUGAGAUUGCUGGUACAGAGAUUGCCAAAUUUUGGUAACAAAUCAAACAAUAACCAAAAAAUUGGCUUGCUAAAACUUUAGCAUGCCAAAAAUUUAGCUACCAACCAAUCAGACCCUGAGACUCGCAUUGUCGUAGAGUAGAGCUGCUAGGUUGGCCAGGAGAAGGUAGGUCGGAGGCUGGCAGCAAGCGCAGACGAGGUUUCGCAAGCUGCACAAGUAUACGAGUAUAUGACAUCGUAAUCGUAGUACGACGCACCAUUUGCUACCGACAAGACAACCAGCAUGCAGCAAACAGUUACAUCGAAGCAUGAUGCCACGACGAUGCUAGCAUCUCCUGACCUGGCAGCCACUCAUCGACGUUGGGUACGCGAUCGGGGCCCUAUGCAUGCGGGAGCAGUUAGCUAUCACCAUAGGUGAUAAAUCCGUCACUUGUCGCCUGAAGAAUGGAGCACACAUGCACUCCUAGCAGAAAACUAGAUUGACAACAUCACCCACAUGCAUGCAAAUUUGAAAUUUAAAAAAAAAUCAUAAAUCGAGUAUCCAUAUUAAAUCCUGAUUGCACCACUGUAUUUCUUACGAAAAGAUCUUUAAAAUAAGAUCACACUCAACUAUAUUUGGAUGAUUUUUUUUAAAAAUAUUUUUUAAUAUGAAAUAUUAAAUUUAAUUACCGCAAACAAAUAAUUGAAUAACUAGAACAAAUAAUUAUAUAACACAACAAAAAAUAACAAGAUGAACAAGUGAUUAUAACUAACGAAUAAAAUACUGAACAUCAAAGAAGAUUGUAUGAUGCAAAUAAAAAAGACGUGUACGAGUAUAUUGUAAACAAGAUAUUGAAAAUUUAAUGGUGCAAGACAAAACAAUAGAAUAUGAAAAUCAAGUUAAAAAGAUUAUUUUAAGAUACGUGUGCCUUGAACAAAUUAUAAUAACUCAAGGAACAAAACAUUAUAUUUAUCGAACAACUUAUAUGAACUUACGGAACAACAAUAAAUAUACCCAGAACAACUUAAACGAACUCACAGAACGAAAUAGUAGUACCCAUCAAACAAAUUAUAUAAACUCAUAGAAAAAAGAUCUGUAUACCUUGAACAAAUUGCAGGAACUCAUAGAAUAAGUAUUUAUACGCCUCGAACAAAUUAUGUGAACUUAAUAAAUAAAAAAUUGUACACUUGAAAAAAUACAUUAUUAACAUAUAACAUUAUUUAAUCUACAGGUCUACAUGGUUGAAUAGUUUAGUCUUUAAAGUUAACAAAUAAUUUGACGCACAAACAAAUAAUUUGAAUUAAAAUAUAAAAAUAAAUUAGUAAUUAGUUAAGUAAUAAAAAGGAAAACAAAACAAAAGAGAAAAAAAGAAAGAAAAGGGAAUGAGAAAAUAAAAUAAGAUCUUAAAGAGAUGAAGAUAAAAACAAGAUAAAAUAAAAGAAAUGAAAAAGUGAAAUAAAAUAUAAGAAAAGCAUAAUAAAUAAAUAAAAGGGAAAAAUGAUAAAUAGCGUACCGAGAAGGAAUAUCUACAAGAAGGUUAGAAAUAAAAUAGAAGAAAAAAUAGGAAUGAAGAAUAUAGAAAAUGAAAAGAGGAGAGAAAUGGAAAAAAGCAAAAGGGACAAAGGUGUAACGUACGUCCCUGUGGCUUAGAAGAAAAGUUAAAUAGAGAGAAAAUGAAGGAAAUAAAUGAAAAAUAAAAAUAGACUAAAAAGAUUAGAAAAAAAAUAAUCUAGUAACGGAAGGUAAAAAACGAACGGAAUAAAAUUACGUACGGAUAGAAAAAAAUGAAAAGAGUGAAAAACAAAAACGAAAAAAAUGAAGAUUUUACGUAAAAAAAGGAACCGGUCGGCUCGGGUCAUCAGCUAACGCAGCGCAGGCCAGCAGCAGCUGGAAUUGGCCGGCACCAGCAUUUCGGAACGUGAAUGCGAUAUGGGCUGGCAACAGCUUUGAAUGCGAUAUGGGCCGAAUUCACGCCACCAGCCCACGCGGAAUCCUUCAGGCGCGACAGAUAGAUUGCUGUCGCGUAUGCAACGUAUAGUCGCUGAGACUACCAUUGAAUCAAGUUCAUGUUUUCUGUGCAAAAUUUUAGGAUAAAACAGCUAAUAUCAAAUGGACUUGCAUGAGCUGAGGGCACCCCCAGCACCCCAGCUUCGCCCCUGGCCUCAUGCACGAGCUGCGUCGGGUGAAUUACGUCUCAACCGCUCACGAUCUGAUCACGUACUGACCGGGCCCGUCGCGUUCGCUGUGGCGUGCUAGCUCGGGAUGCACCCGAUCAGGAUCGAAAUUGCCCGGGAUGACAAGCCGGUCCAGCAAGUUGAUCGGGAUCGGGAUCGGUGGUGCCUUCGCGGAUGAGAUAGCCGUGAUGCCAUCCACCGUCGUCGCCGCCGCCGUCGCCACUGCAAGGCAGGAGGAGGAGGAGCACGCGACGAGGAGGAACGCCACGAGCCUACCAGCACGCGGCGUCCCAGGAGACAGGCAUAUGACCACCUACUUCGUCGAUCGGUCACAGGAGGCUAACACAAGCAAGGUGAUUUAAGUACCCGACGCUAGCGCAAGCUAUAUGUUCAAUUUGCUCAUGAGAUUUAGCGAGAAGCCGAGAAGUUAUUGUCAUUGUACAUUCGAGCGUGCAAGGUAACCGAAGAGGAAAGAGUAUCCGGCCAUCUGGCUUAGAUGCCGGACCUGUCGUUUCGAAGAGUGUCCGCCCAUCUGGCAAGAUGCCGGCUUGUGUGGUCUGGUAAGUUUUGCAGUUUUGCGAGCACGCGACUCCAAAUCUCCAAUACGCUCCAUUGCCGAUUCCGCGCUUGCAGGUGUAGGUAGAGUUGCUUCUGGGUUGUUGUCAUGCUGGCCAGGCCGGCGGUUAGUUGUCCGGUCAGGCCCAUGGAAACAGAAUCGUAUGAACCAUAUCCGGAGGAAACGAGAUGCAGUGGUAUAAUAACCAGUAAAAAGAAAAUGCGAGAAAUUGCAAACUGCAUAUUUAAGACUCAGAAGUACUAUUAAGCUCGCGAGCUAAUAAAAUACAUACUCCUUGAAAUAUGUGUCGUUGUUGAUUUUUCUUGACCAUUUGUGUUAUUCAAAAAUCUAUUGCAAAAUAUACGAAAAAAUAAAUCAUGCUUAAAAUGCCUAUGAUGGUGCUUACAUAAUUGUUUUUUGCCAAACAUCAUGACCAAAAGUCAAUAACAACAAAUAUUUUCAUACGAAGGUAGUAUACGAAGAAAUAAAGAUGGAACUCACAACAGUAGAAGUAUAGAACGUAAAAUUCACGAGCCAUCUAACUAAACUCUAAAUCUCUAAUGAAGGACGCCCGUUGAUCUUCAGGUACGCGGGAACUCUACCGGCGCCGGGGACGCGAAGCCCUUGUGGUAGAGCAAGUCGGUCAUGACCCUGUACGCGCGCUGUGUCAGGUGCACGCCGUCCCAGCUGAUGCGCUCGUCCGGCCUAGCGCACACCGUGGCGCCCGGCGCACCGCACAUCCGCUCCAUGUCGAAGUUGUACGCGCCGCCACCGGCGCCGCAGCACGCCUUGGUCACCGCACCCUCGUCGAACCCCGUCUUGCCGGCGUCCCUCAGCAUCUGCACGUACGCGUAGAAGUAGUCGCCGUAGGCGAUAGUGGCGCUCGGAUACGACCGGCGCAGCUCGCGGAUUUCCUGCUGCAGCAGCACGUUGUGCAUCUGGGCGAACAGGUUGAGCGACAUGAGGCAGCCGUUGGCGUCGUAGGCCGCCGGGUCCGUCUCGUUCGCGGCGGAC